RNAcentral lists this ribosomal RNA (481 nucleotides) under uncultured soil bacterium. RNAcentral describes it as "bacterial SSU rRNA". It matches the Rfam family "Bacterial small subunit ribosomal RNA", at positions 26 to 498 of the family's 1533-position model. The record is from RNAcentral.
AGAGCGAACGCUGGCGGCAGGCCUAACACAUGCAAGUCGAACGGACCCUUCGGGGUUAGUGGCGGACGGGUGAGUAACACGUGGGAACGUGCCUUUAGGUUCGGAAUAGCUCCUGGAAACGGGUGGUAAUGCCGAAUGCGCCCUUCGGGGGAAAGAUUUAUCGCCUUUAGAGCGGCCCGCGUCUGAUUAGCUUGUUGGUGAGGUAAUGGCUCACCAAGGCUACGAUCAGUAGCUGGUCUGAGAGGAUGACCAGCCACAUUGGGACUGAGACACGGCCCAAACUCCUACGGGAGGACAGCAAAUGGGGAAUCGUUCGCGACGAAGUGGGAACGAAAGGCCUAGACGACGACGCCAAUCGGCCGCGUGUAUGAAUGGAAGGUCUAGGUAUAUAAAAUACUUACGACGGUAGAAGAAUAAUGACGUAGUAGACCGGAGAAACGAACGCCCCGGACUAACCUUCGUCGACCACGACACGCCGGAC